AUGGAAGAAGAAAUUGAUGAAACUAUGAGCUCAUUGGAUGAAAAAGAUGAUGAGGAGAGCGAAGAACAAAAGGAGGAAGAGCGGAUUAGCUACCCGUGCCCACCUUCUAAUGAGAGUAACUCUUCAACUCAUACAUUGUUUAAUUUCCCUUCGUGCUUACCGAAGGAUGAUUGCUAUGAUGACUGUUAUGAUCCCGUUGAUUCUCUUGAAAUAUCCCUUUUUGGUGAUGCUUACUAUGCUUGUGGCCAAUAUGCCAAUAUGAAUUAUGCUUAUGGAGAUGAACUUGCUAUAGUUCCUUAUGUUAAACAUGAAAUUGUUGCUAUUGCACCCACGCAUGAUAGUCCUAUUAUCUUUUUGGAUUCUCCCGACUACACUAUAUCGGAGAAGUUUGUGCUUAUUAAGGAUUAUAUUGAUGGGUUACCUUUUACCGUUGCACAUGAUGAUUUUGAUGAGUAUAAUAUGCAUGUGCUUGCUGCUCCUACUUGCAAUUAUUAUGAGAGAUGA
This 504-nucleotide ribosomal RNA is filed under the name Triticum aestivum (bread wheat). RNAcentral's name for it is "partial small subunit ribosomal RNA". Lineage: Eukaryota; Viridiplantae; Streptophyta; Magnoliopsida; Poales; Poaceae. The record is from RNAcentral.